Molecule: ribosomal RNA, 600 nt
Filed under: uncultured bacterium
Lineage: Bacteria
Description: bacterial SSU rRNA
Rfam family: Bacterial small subunit ribosomal RNA (bases 1-384)
Source: RNAcentral
ACGGGAGCCUCGGCUCCUUGUGAGAAAAGGUGGCUCUGUACACAAGCUAUCGCCCCAGGUAUGAGCCCGGUCCAUCAGCUAGUUGGCGGGGUAAUGGCCACAAGGCUACGACGGGUAGCUGGUCUGAGAGGACGAUCAGCACACUGGUAACUGAGACAACGGUCCAGACUCCUACGGGAGGCAGCCAGUGGGGAAUCUUGCGCAAUGGGCGUAAAGCCUGACGCAGUAACGCCGCGUGUGUGAUGAAGGUCUUCGGAUCGUAAAGCACUGUCGCGAGGGACGAAUAAGGCUUCGGCUAAUACCCGGAGACGAUGACGGUACCUCGAGAGGAAGCACCGGUUAACUCUGUGCCAAGCAGCCGCGGUUAUACAGCAAGGGUUGCUAAAGNCAGUUUGGGUCCGGGAAACUUCAUUGGGGGCGGUUANAAGNCGGCGGUUGCUUAAGAGCAGGNGAUCCCAAUCAAAAGGCUUAGGGGCUGGUGAAAAAGAGCCCACAUCCGGGAAUUUANACCCAGGACGGAAUAGCUUNGAGAGCCCCUAGAAAAUACUAUAGUUGGCAGCCUCCGCAGUUACCAGGNGACAAAGGNGUUGGAGCCGAAAA